This is a long non-coding RNA of Gadus morhua (Atlantic cod), 408 nucleotides long. RefSeq lists it as uncharacterized. Lineage: Eukaryota; Metazoa; Chordata; Actinopteri; Gadiformes; Gadidae. The transcript is spliced from 3 exons. The record is from RefSeq and is a predicted model, not a curated record.
GGAGGAGGAGGAGGAGGUACCUUGGUCUCCUCAGCCCUCAUCCCGUCCAGCAGGUAGCGAAGGAGCUCCUGGCUGUCCUGCUGCUGGAAGCCCUUGAAGCGAGCCGCCCUGGGAGAGAGACGUCCCGGGACCACAUGAAGGAUGGACCCACCAGAUUGGAGGAGGCUGUAGGAGUGAUCUUCAAGCUGCUCUUGUUCUCUGUCAGCUGGUUGAGAACCCCCCUCAGCAGCUGGGUCUGGGAGAGGUUCUGGAGAGGACAACCACCCAAUAAUGAAGCUGGCAGGAGGUCUCCCUCAUCCUACAAUCUGGAAUAACUCGUUCAACUACUCCAACAAUUCAACAUGUACAUCUAGCCAAAUUUCCGACGAAACAGUGAGGGGAGACGAGGAAUAAAAGGAAGAUGACAAA